RNAcentral lists this ribosomal RNA (439 nucleotides) under uncultured bacterium. RNAcentral's name for it is "bacterial SSU rRNA". It matches the Rfam family "Bacterial small subunit ribosomal RNA", at positions 954 to 1392 of the family's 1533-position model. The record is from RNAcentral.
GCAUAACGCGAAGAACCUUACCUGGCCUUGACAUUGAUAGAAUCUGCUAGAGAUAGCGGAGUGCCCUUCGGGGAGCUUGAAAACAGGUGCUGCACGGCUGUCGUCAGCUCGCGUCGUGAGAUGUUGGGUUAAGUCCCGCAACGAGCGCAACCCUCGUCACUAGUUACUAACGGUUCGGCCGAGGACUCUAGUGAGACUGCCUUCGUAAGGAGGAGGAAGGUGAGGACGACGUCAAGUCAUCAUGGCCCUUACGGCCAGGGCGACACACGUGCUACAAUGGGAUGUACAAUGAGACGCAAUACCGCGAGGUGGAGCAAAUCUAUAAAACAUCUCUCAGUUCGGAUUGUAGUCUGCAACUCGACUACAUGAAGCUGGAAUCACUAGUAAUCGUAGAUCAGCCAUGCUACGGUGAAUACGUUCCCGGGUCUUGUACACACCG